AACGUACGCUGGCGGCACGCCUAACACAUGCAAGUCGAACGCAGUAGCAAUACUGAGUGGCAGACGGGUGAGUAACAUGUGGGAAUCUGCCUUGUGGUUCAGGACAACAUUGGGAAACCGAUGCUAAUACUGGAUAAGCCCUUACGGGGAAAGUUUUAAUGCCAUAAGAUGAGCCCGCAUUUGAUUAGUUAGUUGGUGAGGUAAUGGCUCACCAAGACAAUGAUCAAUAGUUGAUCUGAGAGGAUGAUCAGCCACACUGGGACUGAGACACGGCCCAGACUCCUACGGGAGGCAGCAGUGGGGAAUCUUGCACAAUGGAGGAAACUCUGAUGCAGCGAUGCCGCGUGAGUGAAGAAGGCCUUUGGGUUGUAAAGCUCUUUUGUAGGGGAAGAUAAUGACUGUACCCUAAGAAUAAGGUCCGGCUAACUUCGUGCCAGCAGCCGCAGUAA
Molecule: ribosomal RNA, 449 nt
Filed under: uncultured bacterium
Lineage: Bacteria
Description: partial 16S ribosomal RNA
Rfam family: Bacterial small subunit ribosomal RNA
Source: RNAcentral